GACGAACGCUGGCGGCAGGCUUAACACAUGCAAGUCGAGCGAGCGGCGGACGGGUGAGUAAUGUCUGGGAAACUGCCUGCUGGAGGGGGAUAACUACUGGAAACGGUCUCUAAUACCGCAUACUAUCGGAUGAACCCAUAUGGGAUUAGCUAGUAGGUGGGGUAAAGGCUCACCUAGGCGACGAGCUCUAGCUGGUCUGAGAGGAAGAUCAGCCACACUGGGAGUGAGAGACGGCCCAGAGUGCUACGGGAGGCAGCAGUGGGGAAUAUUGCACAAUGGGCGAAAGCCUGAUGCAGCGACGCCGCGUGGGGGAUGAAGGCUUUCGGGUUGUAAACCUCUUUCGCUAUCGAACGGGUAGGUGGAGAAGAAGCGCCGGCUAACUACGUGCCAGCAGCCGCGGUAAUUC
RNAcentral lists this ribosomal RNA (406 nucleotides) under uncultured bacterium. RNAcentral describes it as "partial 16S ribosomal RNA". It matches the Rfam family "Bacterial small subunit ribosomal RNA", at positions 28 to 526 of the family's 1533-position model. The record is from RNAcentral.